This 3480-nucleotide long non-coding RNA is filed under the name Gossypium barbadense (sea-island cotton). Its description in RNAcentral is "long non-coding RNA (GBAR_LNC011947)". The record is from RNAcentral. Lineage: Eukaryota; Viridiplantae; Streptophyta; Magnoliopsida; Malvales; Malvaceae.
GCAUGCAACUUUACUCAAUUAUGCUAGAUCUACUCUUAAAUAGGGACCUUUUUUCCUCUGAUUUAAGCACAUCAAACAUGGAUUAAUAGUCGGGAAAUACUAAACCAAGAAUUAAACACACAUAAUUGGGAACAAGAUUCAAGUAUUUAUUGCUAAAACAUAAAUCAAAAGACAGAAUCCAUGCUAGGGUUCAUCUCCCUAGGUAUUUAGAAAAUUAGUUCAUAAUCGCAAAUAAAAAUAUCUUAAAGACAGUAUAACCAUAAGAAAUAAAGAAAUUCAUAAUAAACUUCAAAAAAAUCAAAAUGAAAUAUUCAAUCUUGAUGGAAAUCUAUUUUAGAGACUGUUUUAAUGGUGUAACCGAGUCAUUUUCUUGUGUAUUCUCUGAUGGCUCAUUCCUCUCUUCUCAUAUUUGAUAUAUAUAGGUCAAAGAAUGUUCGAAAACCUAAAAGUUGCAUUUUUCCGCAUGUUUGGAGUGCAGAUCAUGAUUUCCACAUGGUCUAGCAUGUGGUCGUGUGGCAACCCGUGUAGCUCACACGGCCGUGUGCGCCCAGUCUGUGUGGCCCCUGUACCUUGCUCUAAUUUUCUGAUUUUCUCUCAUUUUUCACUACUUUUGCUCCCAAAUACUCUCCUGAGUAUAGAAAAAUGAAUUUAAAGGAUUAAGAGCAUAAAAUUCACGAUUUUACAUUGAAUAAUCAUCCAAAAAUGCAUUAAGAAUGAGGUUAAAAUAUGUUACUUUUGACAUUUAUAACAAAUCCUGCCCAUUCUGUCCUAGAGUUUCCAAGUACUUGAAAACCUCUAUGACCGACUUUUCACAAUAUCACAAUGUGAACCAUUUGUAAUCUCCACUACUAAAUAUUGCAUCAUCAACAAACAUUUUCAUUAAAUUAUUUCAAGGAUAUGACAUAGUCUUUUUAGUAAAUCAAAUAUUAAUUUCUUUUAUCAAUUUUUAAAAAAAGGUUUAAUCAUUAAGUUUGAUAGCGCAAAUAACAAAAAAAGAAAAUGAUCAUUUUAAUUUUAUGGGCCGAUGAUUAAGCCUUUCAGUUGUGCCGAAUACUUGGGGGACUUUAGAAAAUGUAACACCCCCUAACCCUAAACCAUCACCGGAAGAGAUUUAUGGAGCAUUACCGGAGUUUACAGAAUAAUUACACACAAUUCCAUUAUUUUCUUAUGUUCAUGUCAAAGCUGUCUUCUUGAGAAAUAGUCACUAAAAUAUUUAUAUCUGGAGCUACGAAGCUCCAAAUUAAGUUCCGUUAAUUUUUCUUGAAACUAGACUCAUAUGCCUUUCUACCAUAAAAAUUUCAGAAUUUUUGGUUUAGCCAAUUAGUACAGUUUAUUCCUCAAAGUUACCCCUGGUCUGCUAUUUGACAGCUUCGACCUUUCUUUACUAAAAUUUAAUUAUCUCAUAGCACAGGACUCGGGUGAUGUUCCCGUUUAUUUAUCUUGAAAAUAUACUCAUUAAGGAUUCUAAGAAUAUAAAUUAUAGCCCAUAAUUAUUUUUAUACAAUUUUUAAUGAUUUUCCCAAUUCAGAAUAGGGAAUUCCGAAAUCAAUCUGACAUUGUCUCAUAAAAAUUCAAAUUCAUACCAAAUUAUUCAAAUCCUAUUUUAUACCAUAACCAAACCUUAAAUUUAUUUAUUUCAUCCUUACAUUUACAAUUUCAAAAUGACACACACAUAAGGCAUCCUAGGUACAUGCCAUUACCCAUAAUUAACACACUUUACCUCAUUGAAUUUGGGAUUGGCCUGGGAUGCUGAUUCAACGUUCUAUCUUUACUUAACCUGCGCACGGAAACAAACCGUACGCUGAGUAUGGUAUACUCAGUGGUAUUUCCAUAAUCCGAACACUUAAUAACAUAACAAUUAAACUUAAAAUCACAAUAACAAUUAUAAGUAUUCAUUUAUUUUAUAGAUGAAUUUCAUUUAUUUACCGUAUAAAUUCUAUACAAUAUAUUCACAAUUCACUUGUAUUCACACUUUACUUCUUAACAAUAUACCAUUUUAAUUCAUUCUAACAUCAAUCAUCAUCCAUUUGAACUUCACUCAUUUCAUGAACCUUUUGGUUCAUGUUUUCAAUCUCAUAUCUCAAUUUCAAUUCUCAAUUCAAUUUCUCAUUUCAUUCUAAUAGCUCAAUCAAUCAAAUUCACUCGAUUUAUCUUUUCACUUAUUUACCCCUAUUAACAAGACUCGGACUCUGAUAGAUACGCGGAUUCCUCCCAAACACACCAGAAUAUCCAACCCAAACACACCAGAAUAUCCAACCCAAACACACCCAGAAUAUUAUAAAUCCUCCAUAACACACCAGUAUAUCAUAUCCUCCCAAACACACCAAUAAGGCAUUAAAUGCCUCUUCGGAUAAACCGAAGUAUAUAAUAAUAGAAAUAUAUUCUCGGCCGAACUACAAAUCUCCCCAUCACAUCACAAAUCCAAUGGCAUGCCAUUUGUAUCCAAUCUGGUCCGAUACUGUUAAUAGGGUAUUUGAUUCACUUUCUCAAUUUAAUAAGUCUUUCAUCAAUAUACCAUUGUAAUAAUCACAUAUAUUCAUAUCAAUUCCCUCAUAUUUCCAAUCAAUAUAAUUUUUUUCAAUAUAACAUUCAUUCAAUAUUCAAAUUUUUACAUAAAUCAUAUAUAUAUUAUAUAUUUCAAUCAAUAUAAAUUCAAUCAAAAUGAUUUCAAUCAAUAUAAAUUUGAUAAAUUCAUCACAUACCAAAAUCAAUCCAUUUCAAUUGUAAAAUAUCAUAAUUCUAACACUAACAAUUGUCAUCUGUAUAUAAAUAUAAUAAAUAGUGAUUGAGUUCGGAUUAUAGAAAUACAAACCGUAUUUUUCGAGCUUUUCCAAGCUUUUCCUCGUCGACUUUGCUAUUUCCUUACUUAGCCGAAACUUCUCGAGACAACGUUAGCUACGGAAAUUAAAACAAUUCAUAUUCAUUAAUUCACUACUAAUUUAUAUCUAAUUAAUUGAAUUUUCUAUUCAAUUUUCUACUUUAAUUUCAAUUUAAUCUUAACUAAUUUUCACUUACGUUUCUAAUUCAAUUCACAUUCUAUUUCUAUUCAAAUUUCAUCCAUACUCUCAUUUAAAUAUUAAAUUUCCAGCAUAUUUUCCUAAUUUCAAAAUUUCAUCAAUUUAGUUCCUACAACAUAAAACUUAUAACUUACUUUACAAUUUGAUCCUAUUAUCAAUUCUAACUUGAAAUUCACUCAAUUAAACCCUUAAUUCACUAUUUUAUUCAACAUGAACUAUACUUGAAAAACUAUAAACUCUCAAAAUAUCAACUUAAUUUCAUUAAAACCUUGUUUUACAGCUUCUAAAACAUCAAAUUUAAGAGGAAAUGACUUAAUUGACUUACCAAAUUAAACUUCAAGCUUCAAACCUUAUAUUUUCCCCUUUUUUCUUUCUUUUCUUUCUUUCCUUCCUUCCCUCUCUGUUUCGUUUCUACUAUUCUGUUUCUUCCCUUCUUCUCUUUUUUUUUUCUUUUGUUUUAUAU